Molecule: ribosomal RNA, 497 nt
Filed under: uncultured bacterium
Lineage: Bacteria
Description: partial 16S ribosomal RNA
Rfam family: Bacterial small subunit ribosomal RNA
Source: RNAcentral
GAUGAACGCUGGCGGCGUGCCUAAUACAUGCAAGUCGAGCGAACAGACGAGGAGCUUGCUCCUCUGACGUUAGCGGCGGACGGGUGAGUAACACGUGGAUAACCUACCUAUAAGACUGGGAUAACUUCGGGACACCGGAGCUAAUACCGGAUAAUAUAUUGAACCGCAUGGUUCAAUAGUGAAAGACGGUUUUGCUGUCACUUAUAGAUGGAUCCGCGCCGCAUUAGCUAGUUGGUAAGGUAACGGCUUACCAAGGCAACGAUGCGUAGCCGACCUGAGAGGGGGAUCGGCCACACGGGAACUGAGACACGGUCCAGACUCCUACGGGAGGCAGCAGUAGGGAAUCGGCCGCAAUGGGCGAAAGCCUGACGGAGCAACGCCGCGUGAGUGAUGAAGGUCUUCGGAUCGUAAAACUCUGUUAUUAGGGAAGAACAAAUGUGUAAGUAACUAUGCACGUCUUGACGGUACCGAAUCAGAAAGCCACGGCUAACUACGUG